GACUCCUACGGGAGGCAGCAGUGGGGAAUAUUGCACAAUGGAGGAAACUCUGAUGCAGCAACGCCGCGUGAACGAAGAAGGCUUUCGAGUCGUAAAGUUCUGUUAUAGGGGAAGAAGAAGUGACGGUACCCUAUGAGAAAGCCACGGCUAAUUACGUGCCAGCAGCCGCGGUAAUACGUAAGUGGCAAGCGUUAUCCGGAAUUACUGGGCAUAAAGCGUUCGUAGGCGGUUAAACAAGCCAAUAGUGAAAUCCACCAGCCUAACUGGUGUCAGCUAAUGGAACUGUAUAACUUGAGUACAGGAGAGGAAAGUGGAAUUCCUAGUGUAGUAGUGAAAUGCGUAGAUAUUAGGAAGAACAUCAGUAGCGAAGGCGACUUUCUGGACUGUAACUGACGCUGAGGAACGAAAGCGUGGGGAGCGAACAGGAUUAGAUACCCUGGUAGUCCACGCCGUAAACGAUGGAUACUUGGUGUUGGCCGUAAAGGUCGGUGCCGGAGCAAAUGUAUUAAGUAUCCCGCCUGGGGAGUACGGUCGCAAGGCUGAAACUCAAAAGAAUUGACGGGGACCCGCACAAGCAGCGGAGCAUGUGGUUUAAUUCGAAGCAACGCGAAGAACCUUACCAAAUCUUGACAUAUCAAAGCUAUCUGAGUAAAAUUAGAGUUCCAUUUGGACUUUGACUACAGGUGGUGCAUGGUUGUCGUCAGCUCGUGUCGUGAGAUGUUGGGUUAAGUCCCGUAACGAGCGCAACCCUUAUUUUUAGUUGCUAACAAGUAAAGUUGAGGACUCUAGAGAGACUGCCGAUGAAAAAAUCGGAGGAAGGUGGGGAUGACGUCAAAUCAUCAUGCCCCUUAUGAUNUGGGCUACACACGUGCUACAAUGGCCGGUACAACGGGUAAGCGAAGGGGUGACCUGGAGCCAAUCCUCACAAGCCGGUCCCAGUUCGG
RNAcentral lists this ribosomal RNA (944 nucleotides) under uncultured organism. Its description in RNAcentral is "bacterial SSU rRNA". It matches the Rfam family "Bacterial small subunit ribosomal RNA", at positions 334 to 1296 of the family's 1533-position model. The record is from RNAcentral.